Molecule: ribosomal RNA, 259 nt
Filed under: uncultured bacterium
Lineage: Bacteria
Description: partial 16S ribosomal RNA
Rfam family: Bacterial small subunit ribosomal RNA
Source: RNAcentral
GUCCACGCCGUAAACGAUGUCGACUUGGAGGUUGUUCCCUUGAGGAGUGGCUUCCGGAGCUAACGCGUUAAGUCGACCGCCUGGGAGUACGGCCGCAAGGUUAAACUCAAAUGAAUUGACGGGCCCGCACAAGCGGUGGAGCAUGUGGUUUAAUUCGAUGCAACGCGAAGAACCUUACCUACUCUUGACAUCCACGGAAUUCGGCAGAGAUGCCUUAGUGCCUUCGGGAACCGUGAGACAGGUGCUGCAUGGCUGUCGU